AGGGGUAUAGCUCAGUGGUAGAGGGCUUGCUUAAUAUGCAGGGGGACCUUGGUUCUACUCCCAGUACCCAUA
This 72-nucleotide transfer RNA is filed under the name Ictidomys tridecemlineatus (thirteen-lined ground squirrel). RNAcentral describes it as "Spermophilus tridecemlineatus (thirteen-lined ground squirrel) tRNA". It matches the Rfam family "tRNA". Rfam says of the family: Transfer RNA (tRNA) molecules are approximately 80 nucleotides in length. Their secondary structure includes four short double-helical elements and three loops (D, anti-codon, and T loops). Lineage: Eukaryota; Metazoa; Chordata; Mammalia; Rodentia; Sciuridae. The record is from Rfam by way of RNAcentral.